AGUUAGUACGAGGGCCGAUUGCAUUGACGAAGCGUGUGAUGUUCUCCAAGCCCAUGAAAGUGUUGGUGAAACUGCCAUGGACGAUUCUGAGCAAGAUCCCCAUCCUGAAAAUGCUCAAGGAGCCAAUCGAGAACGUGCUCCAGACCUUGCAUAAUGCGAAGAAGAAGACGGAGGCGACGAGGAAUCGGGUUCGAAGAAGAGCGACGAGAAGCCUCCGUUGCUGGAGGAGAUCACGAUCCCUUCGGUGAUGCAGCUGGCGGAGGCCGGGGUGUAGUUCGUGGCGACGGAGAAAGGCAUCUCGAGCAUCAACUUCGAGACAAAACCCUAACGUUCCACAUCCCGGCGAUCAACCUGGAGUGAACUCGAGGUGGUGUGAGGAAUCUGUGGCGUACGAGGGUGCACGCGUCCGGAGCCGCUGGUGCUGGCGCGGUACACGGAGUUGAUGAACGAGAUCAUCGACACGAAGGUGGACGCGCGGUUCCUGUGCGGGAAGGGGAUCAUCAUGAAUCAUCUGAAGAGCGAGAAUGAGGUGGCGGAGCUGUGGAACGGGAGCAGGUCAAUGAGAUUGACCAAAGUGCCAUCGCUCGAUAAAGUGAUAGCGGAUGUGAACAAAAUCUAUAGCCAGAGAUAGAAGAUUAAGAUGGCCAAGUCCAUGAAGGAGUAUGUGUUUGGGUCGUGGAAGAUUCUCACGGUUCUUACAGCCAUCACCAUACUAUUUCUCAUGUGUUUUUUUUAAUAUUAUAAAAAAAAAAAAAUGGAAGGAAACGGCGUGAGUAGGCCGUUUGUUAUGUGGGGUUAGUUGAACCCUUGUUCUAGACUAUGAGGGAGGUAUUUGCACCAAGGUCGAGUAUGGGGGGCUAAACGCUCUAGGGGGUCUUCAGGGACCAAUCUGCAGAUUUGCGCUAAAAGAAAUUAUAUGCAAUAAAUAAAGUGCUAAUAGUCCAUCUAGGCAUAACCCCAAAUACAAUUAGGCCUAGACAUAACCCCAAAAUAGUCCAUCUGCAAACUGCAGCAGCCUCACCUACUGGGUCGAGACCUAGUAAAUACGAUUAUUUAUCUCUCUAGAUUAAAUAGGGUUAGCUAAAGUUUUAAUUGACGAUGAAUAGUUGUUAAGAUGUUAACCAAAAGGAGGUUCGUAUGAAUGUGAGUGUGCUUGAGUUUUGUAACUCUGAAAAAAUUAGAAUUUUAAUUAAUACCUAAUUUCUAAUUAAAUUUAUAUUGAGUUUAAUUAAAAUUAUAUAUUUCAUAUUUUGAAUUUUGUAAUUAGUUUAUUUAAAUAUUUUUGAAGUAAUUAAUUUAAUUAAAUAUGAGUUAACUUAAUUAAUAAAAAAAAUACAAACAAAGGGUGAUACCCAACGUACAUUCGAAAAUGCAGUCAAAUUAAGAAUAACUAUACGUCUAUAUAGGGGUGUUAAAACGGGAUACGGGUAUCGGGUAUACCCGACCCGGUCCCGAUACCCGUGCGGGUUUCGGGUACCCGAUACCCGCUUUUUACGGGGUGCGGGUCGGGAUCGGGUAUUGAAAUUCCAAAAAAUACGGGUAUUGGGUAUACCCGUCGGGUAUCGGGUAACCCGAAUACCCGUCCCAUAUUUAAUUAAUAUAUAUUUUUAAUAUUUUAUAUAAUUUAAUUAUAUCUUAUUAUCUUAAUAUCCAAAAACAAAAUUCAAAAUCCUAUUCCUAAACCCUCCUAUGCUCCUACCCAGCAAUACCUGCUGCUUCUCUUAAUAUUUUAUAUAAUUUAAUAAUAUCUUAUUAUCUUAAUAUUUUAAUAUAUUUUUUUCAGUUCAUUGAAGGAUCAUAUGUUCUAUUACUUGUUGAAAUAAUGUAUAACUAGUAGUCUGACUUGGAUGAAUUUUUGUAUCUUUUUGAUGUAGAGCAUCAAAGACGUAAUAAUUAUGCUGAAACAAUUAUGUAAAACAAUUUGGAUUUUUGUCUCUCUUUGAUGCUAUUACAAAUAUGAAAUAUGUAAAUCAGAAGCAUUGCCGCAUUGUUAAGAUAAAAAGGACAGAAUCAAAUGCAUUAAGUUAGUAUAAAAAGGAAAAAAAUCGCAAAAUUCAUCAAAAUGCGGGUAUGCGGGUACCCUAAUACCCGCGUCGGGUACCCGCAUCGGGUAUUAGGGUACCCGACGGCAAUGUCGGGUCGGGUAUCGGGUAUGAUAAUUGCACAAAAAUCGGGGUCGGGUACCCGCAAAUAUCGGGUAGGGUACCCGACCCGCCCCGUUUAGACACCCCUACGUCUAUACGUAACCUGAUCUCAAAUUGGUCAGGAACACAAUCGAAUUAACAAUAAUUAUAAGUAACAUAAUCAAUUACUAGUUGGUACUGGUAUAAUAUUAUUCGGACUCCUACUCUUGUCUUUUUAUUUAACUAAUAUACGCUCAUAGCACGACUGACAUCGAAAUUAAACGAUAAAUUUAAAUAAAUAAAUAUAAAUAAAAAAAAAAUCAAAAUAUAAACAAAUACAAAAUAUUUUUAAUGAAAUAUAAUAAUUCACAUCAAAUAUCAAUCACUCAAUAAAAUCCUGAAUUUAAAAAUAUAAAUUUUCAAUUUAUACAAAGUGUAAUGAUAGUUAUAGUUAUUAAAUAAAUUUAAAAAUUAUUCGAUAAUGAAAAUUUGCACUAUGCAUGUAUUAUUCAUAAUAAUAAAUANGACAUGGCACUCGUCAUGGAGCAUACUCACUUGCUGGAUUUUUUAUACCACUUCAUCGUGCCUAAAACUGAUAUAUCGUUUCCGCCGCACGAAAUCGAAGACGGCGAAUUUGGCGGCGAGGAGGAGAAGAAGGAAGGGAUGACGGCGGCGGAGGCGUUUGCAGAGCCGACUCACAUGCGGAAGCUAGUGGACAUAGUGUGGGCAAUGGUGUCGAAGUUAGUACGAGGGCCGAUUGCAUUGACGAAGCGUGAGAUGUUCUCCAAGCCCAUGAAAGUGUUGGUGAAACUGCCAUGGACGAUUCUGAGCAAGAUCCCCAUCCUGUAAAUGCUCAAGGAGCCAAUCGAGAACGUGCUCCAGACCUUGCAUAAUGCGAAGAAGGAAGACGGGGGCGACGAGGAAUCGGGUUCGAAGAAGAGCG
This 3066-nucleotide long non-coding RNA is filed under the name Salvia miltiorrhiza (redroot sage). RNAcentral's name for it is "long non-coding RNA (SMIL_LNC006829)". The record is from RNAcentral. Lineage: Eukaryota; Viridiplantae; Streptophyta; Magnoliopsida; Lamiales; Lamiaceae.